Molecule: ribosomal RNA, 484 nt
Filed under: uncultured bacterium
Lineage: Bacteria
Description: partial 16S ribosomal RNA
Rfam family: Bacterial small subunit ribosomal RNA
Source: RNAcentral
AUUGAACGCUGGCGGCAGGCCUAACACAUGCAAGUCGAGCGGAAGAAGCGGGCUUUCUCCUGGAUUCGGCGGCGGACGGGGGGGUAAUGCCUAGGAUUCUGCCUGGUUGUCGGGGAUAACGUCCGAAAACGGGCGCUACUACCCCAUACGUCCUGUUGGAGCAAGUGGGGGGGCUUGGGACCUCUCGCCAGCUGGUGAGCGUAGGUCGGCUUAUCUAGUUGGUGGGGUAAUUGGCUACCAAGGCGGCGAUCCGUAACUGGUCCGAGAGGAUGGUCAGUCACCUGGGAACUGAGACACGGUCCAGACUCCUACGGGAGGCAGCAGUGGGGAAUAUUGGGCAAUGGGGGAAAGCCUGAUACAGCCAUGCGGCGUGUGUGAAGAAGGUGCUCGGAUUGUAAAGCACUGUAAGUUGGGAGGAAGGGCAGUAAGUUAAGACGUUGCGGUAUUGACGGUACCGGGAGAAUAAGCACCGGCUAACUUCGUG